Molecule: non-coding RNA, 107 nt
Organism: Gossypium arboreum
Lineage: Eukaryota; Viridiplantae; Streptophyta; Magnoliopsida; Malvales; Malvaceae
Source: Rfam
AUUCCAUGAUGAAGGCACUUACAUAAUAAUUCUUUGUACCUUUCCCAUGCCUCAUACAAGGUCUUGUCAUCCAUUUGCUGGAAAGCAGUGGUCUCGUUCCUCAACUU